RNAcentral lists this ribosomal RNA (265 nucleotides) under uncultured archaeon. Its description in RNAcentral is "partial 16S ribosomal RNA". It matches the Rfam family "Archaeal small subunit ribosomal RNA", at positions 717 to 982 of the family's 1478-position model. The record is from RNAcentral.
AGUCACUGACAUUAGAUACCCGUGUAGUCCAGGGUGUAAACGCUGCAGACUUGGUGUUGGAAGCCCUUUGGGGGCAUUCAGUGCCGGAGAGAAGUUGUUAAGUCUGCUACGUUGGGAGUACGUCCGCAAGGAUGAAACUUAAAGGAAUUGGCGGGGGAGCACCGCAACGGGAGGAGCGUGCGGUUUAAUUGGAUUCAACACCGUAAAACUCACCAGGGAAGACUGUUACAUGAAAGCCGAGAUGAAGACUCUGCUAGAUUUUCAG